RNAcentral lists this ribosomal RNA (529 nucleotides) under Enterobacter hormaechei. Its description in RNAcentral is "partial 23S ribosomal RNA". It matches the Rfam family "Bacterial large subunit ribosomal RNA", at positions 2211 to 2739 of the family's 2925-position model. Lineage: Bacteria; Pseudomonadati; Pseudomonadota; Gammaproteobacteria; Enterobacterales; Enterobacteriaceae. The record is from RNAcentral. RNAcentral also lists the same sequence under 1 other name.
UGGCUGGUGUUCUAACGUAGACCCGUGAUCCGGGUUGCGGACAGUGUCUGGUGGGUAGUUUGACUGGGGCGGUCUCCUCCCAAAGAGUAACGGAGGAGCACGAAGGUUGGCUAAUCCUGGUCGGACAUCAGGAGGUUAGUGCAAUGGCAUAAGCCAGCUUGACUGCGAGCGUGACGGCGCGAGCAGGUGCGAAAGCAGGUCAUAGUGAUCCGGUGGUUCUGAAUGGAAGGGCCAUCGCUCAACGGAUAAAAGGUACUCCGGGGAUAACAGGCUGAUACCGCCCAAGAGUUCAUAUCGACGGCGGUGUUUGGCACCUCGAUGUCGGCUCAUCACAUCCUGGGGCUGAAGUAGGUCCCAAGGGUAUGGCUGUUCGCCAUUUAAAGUGGUACGCGAGCUGGGUUUAGAACGUCGUGAGACAGUUCGGUCCCUAUCUGCCGUGGGCGCUGGAGAAUUGAGGGGGGCUGCUCCUAGUACGAGAGGACCGGAGUGGACGCAUCACUGGUGUUCGGGUUGUCAUGCCAAUGGCACU